CUUCAGCGAUCCCAGCCACACCGGCUCGUCACCCUGUCGCUCCUGGCCGUAGGUGGCCAGGAGUGCCUGGGCCUC
This is a non-coding RNA of Streptomyces autolyticus, 75 nucleotides long. NCBI's taxonomy places the organism in Bacteria, Bacillati, Actinomycetota, Actinomycetes, Kitasatosporales, Streptomycetaceae. The record is from Rfam.